AAUUACUCUGAUAUUUAAUUUCAGGCUGCUAGUAUAUUUGUACAUGUACAUUGUACAUGCAAAUGGAAGGAGUGAUCUUGGAAUGUUCAACUUUACUUGGAAACUAUUGGAAAAGUACUAACAGAAUUUCAUGAGAAGCCAGUAUCAUCUAGUCUUGCAAUUGGGAACUAUGUGUAAAGUGCUGCCACAAUCCACUUCAGGAGCUACGGACGUAAGAUCAACAAUAAUUUGGAACUACAUGUAUAUGCUUUAGUGCUGUCAAAAUCCUUUAAAAAAUCCAAUCAGAAGGACCUUCUUCACCUACAUGUCUGAAUGAUCAAUAUAUAUAUAUAUAUUGAGUCUUAUUAUAUAAAGAAACACUGAAGAAGUAUAAAUAAAAUGAAAAUAUAGAGUUGGUCAGCUAAUGAUUGUACAAUACAUGUACAUGAUUUAUAAAUGGCAACAAUACUUACAUGUAUACUAGUACAUUGAAAUUUAAAACAAUGUUAAUAAAUGUUUUAUAAA
This 504-nucleotide long non-coding RNA is filed under the name Mytilus galloprovincialis (Mediterranean mussel). Lineage: Eukaryota; Metazoa; Mollusca; Bivalvia; Mytilida; Mytilidae. The record is from RNAcentral.